This 258-nucleotide ribosomal RNA is filed under the name uncultured bacterium. Its description in RNAcentral is "partial 16S ribosomal RNA". It matches the Rfam family "Bacterial small subunit ribosomal RNA", at positions 524 to 776 of the family's 1533-position model. The record is from RNAcentral.
UACGAAGGGGGCUAGCGUUGUUCGGAUUUACUGGGCGUAAAGCGCACGUAGGCGGACUGUUAAGUCGGGGGUGAAAGCCCUCAGCUCAACUGAGGAAGUGCGCCCGAAACUGCAGAGCUUGGAGUCGCCGGGAGAGGGUGGCGGUAACUUCCCCAAGUAGAGGUGAAAUUCGUAGAUAUUCGCAAGAACACCAGUGGCGAAGGCGGCUCACUGGCCCGGUACUGACGCUGAGGUGCGAAAGCGUGGGGAGCAAACAGG